RNAcentral lists this ribosomal RNA (492 nucleotides) under uncultured bacterium. Its description in RNAcentral is "partial 16S ribosomal RNA". It matches the Rfam family "Bacterial small subunit ribosomal RNA", at positions 29 to 507 of the family's 1533-position model. The record is from RNAcentral.
AGUGAACGCUGGCGGUAGGCCUAACACAUGCAAGUCGAACGGCAGCACAGUAAGAGCUUGCUCUUACGGGUGGCGAGUGGCGGACGGGUGAGGAAUACAUCGGAAUCUACUUUUUCGUGGGGGAUAACGUAGGGAAACUUACGCUAAUACCGCAUACGACCUACGGGUGAAAGCAGGGGAUCUUCGUACCUUGCGCGAUUGAAUGAGCCGAUGUCGGAUUAGCUAGUUGGCGGGGUAAAGGCCCACCAAGGCGACGAUCCGUAGCUGGUCUGAGAGGAUGAACAGCCACACUGGAACUGAGACACGGUCCAGACUCCUAAGGGAGGCAGCAGUGGGGAAUAUUGGACAAUGGGCGAAAGCCUGAUCCAGCCAUACCGCGUGGGUGAAGAAGGCCUUCGGGUUGUAAAGCCCUUUUGUUGGGAAAGAAAAGAAGCAGGUUAAUACCCCGCUGUUCUGACGGUACCAAAAGAAUAAGCACCGGCUAACUUCGUG